UGACAGAAUUGACAUAGCAAACACAGGUGAAUGACAAAGAUAACCAUAGAGAGAGGAGGAAUCACUGUUAAAUGUAAGUUUUUUUUUUACAGGAUGUUGAAGACAAUGAGAUUAUAGACAGCCCACUAACAGAGACAGAGUAAUGACCCAUUGCAACAGAAGAGCCAUAACAACAAUGAAGGGCUUUACCAGUGUAGUAAGGUGGGGUACCUAGCUAAACAUAGACGGUGACGUUUUGUUUGAAGGCUAGACUUCCAGAGAAGGAUCAACUAAAGCUGAAGAGGACUCUCCUUCCAAAGAGAAAUAACACAGAGUAACAGAAUCCAUUCCAGCUGAAGAGGACUCUCCUUCCAAAGAGAAAUAACACAGAGUAACAGAAUCCAUUCCAGCUGAAGAGGACUCUCCUUCCAAAGAGAAAUAACAGAGUAACAGAAUCCAUUCCAGCUGAAGAGGACUCUCCUUCCAAAGAGAAAUAACAGAGUAACAGAAUCCAUUCCAGCUGAAGAGGACUCUCCUUCCAAAGAGAAAUAACACAGAG
This is a long non-coding RNA of Salvelinus namaycush (lake trout), 538 nucleotides long. RefSeq lists it as uncharacterized. The record is from RefSeq and is a predicted model, not a curated record. Lineage: Eukaryota; Metazoa; Chordata; Actinopteri; Salmoniformes; Salmonidae. The transcript has 2 exons.